Molecule: transfer RNA, 79 nt
Filed under: Archangium violaceum
Lineage: Bacteria; Pseudomonadati; Myxococcota; Myxococcia; Myxococcales; Archangiaceae
Description: tRNA-OTHER
Source: RNAcentral
GGCAGCUGCGUCUGCCCCUGAAGCACGUCCACUGGUUACCGGAGGCUCCGAGUGGCGGGUUCGAUUCCCGCCGCUUCCA